Molecule: ribosomal RNA, 635 nt
Filed under: uncultured bacterium
Lineage: Bacteria
Description: bacterial SSU rRNA
Rfam family: Bacterial small subunit ribosomal RNA
Source: RNAcentral
CAUGCAGUCGAGCGAGAAGGGGUAGCAAUACCCCGAGUAAAGCGGCGCACGGGUGAGUAACACGUGGGUAAUCUGCCCUGGAGUGGGGAAUAACACCGGGAAACCGGUGCUAAUACCGCAUACGAUCACGAUGUCUGCGGACGUUGGGAUGAAAGGAGCAAUUCGCUCCAGGAGGAGCCCGCGGCUGAUUAGCUAGUUGGUGAGGUAAUGGCUCACCAAGGCAACGAUCAGUAUCCGGUCUGAGAGGACGGUCGGACACACUGGAACUGAGACACGGUCCAGACUCCUACGGGAGGCAGCAGUGGGGAAUUUUUGGCAAUGGGCGCAAGCCUGACCAAGCAACGCCGCGUGGGUGAUGAAGUCUCUUGGGACGUAAAACCCUUUCGACGGGGAAGAAACCGCAAGGUUGACGGUACCCGUAGAAGAAGCCCCGGCUAACUCCGUGCCAGCAGCCGCGGUAAUACGGGGGGGGCAAGCGUUGUUCGGAAUUACUGGGCGUAAAGGGUGCCUAGGCGGUGCGUUAAGUCGGAUGUGAAAACUCUGGGCUCAACCCAGAGCCUGCAUCCGAAACUGGCGUGCUAGAGUUCUGGAGGGGAUAGCGGAAUUCCUGGUGUAGCGGUGAAAUGCGUAGAUAU